Labrus bergylta (ballan wrasse) is the source of this 2244-nucleotide non-coding RNA. The record is from RefSeq and is a predicted model, not a curated record. NCBI's taxonomy places the organism in Eukaryota, Metazoa, Chordata, Actinopteri, Labriformes, Labridae.
GCGUGUUUGAGUUGAGGCUCGGAGGUUGAAAAAAGUAUUUUGACAGACUAACUUUUGCCUCAUGUUUACCUGCGCCUCCCCCUGCAGGCUGCCAGGUGAAUUACACUGAUAAUCAAAAUAAUCAGCCGGUGAGAGAAUAAAGACGAGAACCAGAGCUCACAUUGCUUAACUUAAGGCGCACUCACACUCAGCAAAGUUACUCCCAUGUUGAAGCACGAUUUCCCCCCCCCCCCCAUUCCCCCGCUGGCCUGCGCCCAUGCUACACUCCGGGAUGUUCACUCCACGCUGUGGACCCGUGCACGAACGUACCGUGCUGAGGCACCUCUUCACGCCGGGCCAGGACAGGAAGUGAGCACUCAUGGUGGUCAAAGGAAGUGGACUUCAGUACGGGUCACAAAGUGCGCCCUGAGAUAACAGAUGAUAUCAUUUUAAAACACAAAGUGUUGAAGGAGUGUUGAAGGAAAUGAUUUUCAUCUAUUUAAUAAAAAACUUCUUUAAAGAGAACCUGUGGGUUUGUCUGACUUCUAAAACAGAUUUCUCAUCUCCCUGUGGUCCGAGAGGGGGGGGGGAGGUCUGCAGGGACCAGCAGGGACCAGCAGGGACCAGCAGCUCCAUCUACCGAGCACACGACUGAAAAUCAAGACGUGACUAACAGAGUUGUUUUUGUGUCUCAGCCUCUGAAGGCCUCGUCCUACGCGGGACCAGAGGGCUGCAGAGGGAAGCAAGUUUCAAACAGUUUAUAGAUUACACUCUGUCUCACUUCCUGUCCUGCUCGCUCUGCUCCAUCAGGUACAAGUAGAAGUGUUGUGCAUCUGCUGCAGAGGAGUCCAGACUGAUGGAGCAGAGACCCAGAGGAGUCCAGACUGACGGAGCAGAGACCCAGAGGAGUCCAGACUGACGGAGCAGAGACCCAGAGGAGUCCAGACUGACGGAGCAGAGACCCAGAGGAGUCUGGGGAAGCACACUGAAUAAUAAAGUCAUAAUCAGCCCUGCAGAGACAGACUGUACAUUCAUCUGGUGGAUUUAGGGGGUCAGUGUAGGAUUCAGGGUUCGUGGGGUCAUUUCCACCGCAGGUCGAUCUUGUUUCCACGCCCCUUCUGACAGAUGAAGUGAUGUCAGCACCAUCAGCAGGAGAGAUAUCGUCUUAAUAAUUGUAAUAAAUAUAUUUAUGAAUAAUUGGAAGGGUGUGGUUGAGGUUCUGGUUCAGGCUGCAGGUUGGAUCAGCUGACUGCAGGUGUUAUUACCCUCCAUGUUUCAAUGUUACCACCUCUCAUGUUUUAUCUGCUUCUUCUUUAACACUGUGGACUUUUCUCCUCGGCCGGCCUGCAGACUUUCUGUCACACAGCUCACUGAUCCACUUAAUGAUGUUUCACUCUAUUCAUCAAAAUGUCAAGUUCUCUGAGGCACAGCUUCCUUCCUGAAUUGCAGGAAAAUGUGAUGCAAAUGCAUCUGUGAUUUGAUAACCAGCUGUGACGGAUGAAGUAGAACUGUCUUAAUCAUCAGAGCCUCUCACACUUCUCAUUUCUUCUCUCCAGGUCGACAAGAUUGAUUUUCUCCACCCUCACGCUCCAAGUUCAAUUUGAGAGAAAAACAAUAGGUUCUGUGUUCAGAGCGACUCGCUCAUCCUCCCUGAGCUGUGGAUUAUUUAUCAGCUGUGCUCCACUCACUCAUACUCCAGUAGAUCAUAAAUAUAUUCUUGUGGUGACAUCAAACCGUCUGAGGAUGGAGACAGAAGUGCAGAGCUUCCCCUUCACUCAUUUCUUUGACUUGUUCUACUGAAUUGUACUCAAGCAAAGUUUUCUGUUUCUCCAGGAGCAGCUUUAAGGACAACUUCUAUGAUUCUUCUCACUCCUGAUCCUCUAAACACUCUGCUUGUCACUAAUGGUUCAGUAAUGACUCGAUGAUUAAUUAUCUCUGAGAAAAUCUGCCGUUUGAUUCAGAGUUUCACUUUGUCAGAGUCGUUUGUAAUCAUGAGCAAAGCUUCCUCUGAAAGCAUCAUCACAUCUCACAGCUGCGUUCUGCAAAUGUUUGCAAAAAGUGACAUCCAUAACCUCACCUAGCUGGGACGCCGCUGCAUCAGCGAGGAAACGAGGGAGGGAGGCGGGGCGAGGUUUCAGUCUGAAGUGUUGCCCCAUUAGGACGUCUAAUAAUAUCCCUCAUCCUGAGAAUCAGAGACGCUGCUGUCAUGAAUAAAUAAUAAAGAUAUGAUGGUGACAUUUGAAACAUCAGCAUCACAGAUCAGUA